RNAcentral lists this ribosomal RNA (541 nucleotides) under uncultured bacterium. RNAcentral's name for it is "bacterial SSU rRNA". It matches the Rfam family "Bacterial small subunit ribosomal RNA", at positions 776 to 1314 of the family's 1533-position model. The record is from RNAcentral.
GAAUAGACUACCCCGGUAGUCCACGCCCUAAACGAUGCGAACUGGAUGUUGGGUACAUUACGGUACUCAGUGUCGAAGCUAACGCGUUAAGUUCGCCGCCUGGGGAGUACGGUCGCAAGACUGAAACUCAAAGGAAUUGACGGGGGCCCGCACAAGCGGUGGAGUAUGUGGUUUAAUUCGAUGCAACGCGAAGAACCUUACCUGGCCUUGACAUCUGUCGAAUCCUGCAGAGAUGCGGGAGUGCCGCAAGGAACGACAAGACAGGUGCUGCAUGGCUGUCGUCAGCUCGUGUCGUGAGAUGUUGGGUUAAGUCCCGCAACGAGCGCAACCCUUGUCCCUAGUUGCCAGCACGUAAUGGUGGGAACUCUAGGGAGACUGCCGGUGACAAACCGGAGGAAGGUGGGGAUGACGUCAAGUCCUCAUGGCCCUUACGGCCAGGGCUACACACGUACUACAAUGGUCGGUACAGAGGGUUGCGAAGCCGCGAGGUGAAGCCAAUCCCAGAAAACCGAUCCCAGUCCGGAUUGGAGUCUGCAACUCG